UGGGGAAUAUUGCACAAUGGGCGCAAGCCUGAUGCAGCCAUGCCGCGUGUAUGAAGAAGGCCUUCGGGUUGUAAAGUACUUUCAGCGGGGAGGAAGGGAGUAAAGUUAAUACCUUUGCUCAUUGACGUUACCCGCAGAAGAAGCACCGGCUAACUCCGUGCCAGCAGCCGCGGUAAUACGGAGGGUGCAAGCGUUAAUCGGAAUUACUGGGCGUAAAGCGCACGCAGGCGGUUUGUUAAGUCAGAUGUGAAAUCCCCGGGCUCAACCGGGGAACUGCAUCUGAUACUGGCAAGCUUGAGUCUCGUAGAGGGGGGUAGAAUUCCAGGUGUAGCGGUGAAAUGCGUAGAGAUCUGGAGGAAUACCGGUGGCGAAGGCGGCCCCCUGGACGAAGACUGACGCUCAGGUGCGAAAGCGUGGGGAGCAAACA
Molecule: ribosomal RNA, 427 nt
Filed under: uncultured bacterium
Lineage: Bacteria
Description: partial 16S ribosomal RNA
Rfam family: Bacterial small subunit ribosomal RNA
Source: RNAcentral